RNAcentral lists this ribosomal RNA (477 nucleotides) under uncultured bacterium. RNAcentral's name for it is "bacterial SSU rRNA". It matches the Rfam family "Bacterial small subunit ribosomal RNA", at positions 28 to 523 of the family's 1533-position model. The record is from RNAcentral.
GACGAACGCUGGCGGCGUGCCUAACACAUGCAAGUCGAACGAGGUCCAUCCUUCGGGAGAAGACCUAGUGGCGAACGGGUGAGUAACACGUGAAGAACCUGCCCCGAAGACCGGGAUAACCCUCCGAAAGGAGAGCUAAUACCGGAUACCCCCACCGAACCGCAUGGUUUGGUGAGGAAAUGGAUUCCGCUUCGGGAGGGCUUCGCGGCCUAUCAGCUAGUUGGUGGGGUAACGGCCACCAAGGCAUCGACGGGUAGCUGGUCUGAGAGGACGAUCAGCCACACUGGGACUGAGACACGGCCCAGACUCCUACGGGAGGCAGCAGUGGGGAAUCUUGCGCAAUGGGCGAAAGCCUGACGCAGCAACGCCGCGUGGGGGAUGAAGGCUCUCGGGUUGUAAACCCCUUUCAGCAGGGACGAAUCAAGACGGUACCUGCAGAAGAAGCCCCGGCUAACUACGUGCCAGCAGCCGCGGUAA